GCAGGAGCUGCCUGCGGGUGACUCAGCAGCGCCAGCGCCUGCCCCGGCCUGAUAAGUGAACUUGGAAUCAGCUCCUAUCCAGUUCAAGUUGGCUAAGACCGCUGACCCUAAAACUGGGCCUGCACGGGUGUCUGAUGAAUGACCUUUUGCCAUCAGAGGGACAAAAAGUCCACUUCAGAUCAUGCUAACCACCUCCGUUAUUGAACAUGCAUCCUGUAAAGAAGCCAUGUCACUCAGCUUUAGGUUUCCUUGGUGGCGCAUGGUUAAGAAUCUGCCUGCCAAUGCAGGAGGCAUGGGUUUGAUCCCUGGUCCGGGAAGAUGUCACAUGCCAUGGAGCAACUAAGCCCGUGCACCACAACUACUGAGCCUGUGCUCUAGAGCCCACAAGCCACAAAUACUGAAGCCCGCGUGCACCUAGAGCCUGUGCUCUGCAACAAGAGAGGCCACCGCAAUGAGAAGCCUACGCACUGCAAUGAAGAGUAGCCCCCACGCUCACCGCAACUAGAGAAAGCCUGAGCGCAGCAACGAAGACCCAACA
This is a long non-coding RNA of Hippopotamus amphibius kiboko, 538 nucleotides long. RefSeq lists it as uncharacterized. The record is from RefSeq and is a predicted model, not a curated record. Lineage: Eukaryota; Metazoa; Chordata; Mammalia; Artiodactyla; Hippopotamidae. The transcript has 3 exons.